Molecule: ribosomal RNA, 467 nt
Filed under: uncultured bacterium
Lineage: Bacteria
Description: partial 16S ribosomal RNA
Rfam family: Bacterial small subunit ribosomal RNA
Source: RNAcentral
GACGAACGCUGGCGGCGUGCUUAACACAUGCAAGUCGAACGGAAAGGCCCUGCUUUUGUGGGGUGCUCGAGUGGCGAACGGGUGAGUAACACGUGAGUAACCUGCCCUUGACUUUGGGAUAACUUCAGGAAACUGGGGCUAAUACCGGAUAGGAGCUCCUGCUGCAUGGUGGGGGUUGGAAAGUUUCGGCGGUUGGGGAUGGACUCGCGGCUUAUCAGCUUGUUGGUGGGGUAGUGGCUUACCAAGGCUUUGACGGGUAGCCGGCCUGAGAGGGUGACCGGCCACAUUGGGACUGAGAUACGGCCCAGACUCCUACGGGAGGCAGCAGUGGGGAAUAUUGCACAAUGGGCGGAAGCCGGAUGCAGCAACGCCGCGUGCGGGAGGACGGCCUUCGGGUUGUAAACCGCUUUCGCCUGUGACGAAGCGUGAGUGACGGUAAUGGGUAAAGAAGCACCGGCUAAUUACGU